This is a long non-coding RNA of Carassius gibelio (silver crucian carp), 246 nucleotides long. RefSeq lists it as uncharacterized. The transcript is spliced from 3 exons. Lineage: Eukaryota; Metazoa; Chordata; Actinopteri; Cypriniformes; Cyprinidae. The record is from RefSeq and is a predicted model, not a curated record.
GUCGCUCAUCAUUGAUGGACUUCAACAGUGAUGCUGGGUACUGAGUGUCUGCUGCAGAUAUUAGCUUUAGUUUCGACAUGCCUGUGGAUAAAAGGCUCAGAUGAACACACUCCUGUAGAAGAGGACGUGAAGAACAGCAGCUCCGAUUCAAGUUCACAGGAAAAAGAAGGAGAAGAAAAUGAAAUCAAAGAAGAGCAAGAACAGGAAGCACUCGGAAGACAGCAAGGCAGAAACUGAUUCUGAAGG